GGGGUCAUAGCUCAGUUGGUAGAGCGCUUGCAUGGCAUGCAAGAGGUCGGGAGUUCGACCCUCCCUGGCUCCA
This 73-nucleotide transfer RNA is filed under the name Puniceicoccales bacterium. RNAcentral's name for it is "tRNA-Ala". It matches the Rfam family "tRNA". From Rfam's summary of the family: Transfer RNA (tRNA) molecules are approximately 80 nucleotides in length. Lineage: Bacteria; Pseudomonadati; Verrucomicrobiota; Opitutia; Puniceicoccales. The record is from RNAcentral.